UACGAACCGUCCAAACGUUAUUCGGAAUUAUUGGGCUUAAAGGGUAUGUAGGCGGCGCUGUUAGUCGGGUGUGAAAUCCCUCGGCUCAACCGAGGAAUUGCGCCCGAUACUGCAGUGCUUGAGGGAGACAGAGGUAAGCGGAACUGAUGGUGGAGCGGUGAAAUGCGUUGAUAUCAUCAGGAACACCGGUGGCGAAAGCGGCUUACUGGGUCUCUUCUGACGCUGAGAUACGAAAGCUAGGGGAGCGAAGGGGAUUAGAUACCCCCGUAGUCCUAGCUGUAAACGUUGAGCACUUGGUCGGGGAUCCCCUCAUAGGUUCUCGGCCGUAGCGAAAGUGUCAAGUGCUCCGCCUGGGGAGUAUGGUCGCAAGGCUGAA
This 376-nucleotide ribosomal RNA is filed under the name uncultured bacterium. RNAcentral describes it as "bacterial SSU rRNA". It matches the Rfam family "Bacterial small subunit ribosomal RNA", at positions 524 to 898 of the family's 1533-position model. The record is from RNAcentral.